AUGAGCGGAUUCUGCCGACAAUCGCAACCGUUUAUGCGUUGGGGACGAUUGUAGCCCUUUAUUCUUCGGAGGUGGCCGUAGCCAUUUUUACCGUAGAGAUGGACGUAGCCUUUUGUUCUUUGGAGAUGGCCGUAUCCAUUUUCACAUUAGAGAUGGUCGUAGUCUUUUGUUCUUUGGAGAUUGUCGUAGCCAUUUUUUACUUUAGAAAUGGCCGUAGCCUUUUUUCUU
RNAcentral lists this long non-coding RNA (228 nucleotides) under Nicotiana benthamiana. RNAcentral's name for it is "long non-coding RNA (NBEN_LNC029392)". Lineage: Eukaryota; Viridiplantae; Streptophyta; Magnoliopsida; Solanales; Solanaceae. The record is from RNAcentral.